ACUGGAUAUGUUGUUGCCCUUACA
RNAcentral lists this non-coding RNA (24 nucleotides) under Rattus norvegicus (Norway rat). The record is from RNAcentral. Lineage: Eukaryota; Metazoa; Chordata; Mammalia; Rodentia; Muridae.